GACGAACGCUGGCGGCGUGCUUAACACAUGCAAGUCGAACGGAAAGGCCCCCUUGUGGGGUACUCGAGUGGCGAACGGGUGAGUAACACGUGAGUAACCUACCCUUGCCUUUGGGAUAACUUCAGGAAACUGGGGCUAAUACCGGAUAGGAGCUCCUGCUGCAUGGUGGGGGUUGGAAAGUUUCGGCGGUUGGGGGUGGACUCGCGGCUUAUCAGCUUGUUGGUGGGGUAGUGGCUCACCAAGGCUUUGACGGGUAGCCGGCCUGAGAGGGUGACCGGCCACAUUGGGACUGAGAUGAGGCCCAGACUCCUACGGGAGGCAGCAGUGGGGAAUAUUGCACAAUGGGCGGAAGCCUGAUGCAGCAACGCCGCGUGCGGGAUGACGGCCUUCGGGUUGUAAACCGCUUUCGCCUGUGACGAAGCGUGAGUGACGGUAAUGGGUAAAGAAGCACCGGCUAACUACGUG
RNAcentral lists this ribosomal RNA (465 nucleotides) under uncultured bacterium. Its description in RNAcentral is "partial 16S ribosomal RNA". It matches the Rfam family "Bacterial small subunit ribosomal RNA", at positions 28 to 507 of the family's 1533-position model. The record is from RNAcentral.